Molecule: ribosomal RNA, 254 nt
Filed under: uncultured bacterium
Lineage: Bacteria
Description: partial 16S ribosomal RNA
Rfam family: Bacterial small subunit ribosomal RNA
Source: RNAcentral
UACGGGGGGAGCAAGCGUUGUUCGGAUUUACUGGGCGUAAAGGGCGCGUAGGCGGCCACCGCAAGUCGACUGUGAAAUCUCCGGGCUUAACCCGGAAAGGUCAGCCGAUACUGCGGGGCUAGAGUGCAGAAGGGGCAACUGGAAUUCUCGGUAUAGCGGUGAAAUGCGUAGAUAUCGAGAGGAACACCUGCGGCGAAGGCGGGUUGCUGGGCUGACACUGACGCUGAUGCGCGAAAGCUAGGGGAGCGAACGGG